GAGUUUGAUCCUGGCUCAGGAUGAACGCUAGCGGGAGGCUUAACACAUGCAAGUCGAGGGGCAGCACGGGAUAGCAAUAUUCUGGUGGCGACCGGCGCACGGGUGAGUAACACGUAUGCAACCUACCUCGUACAGGGGGAUAACCCGGAGAAAUUCGGACUAAUAUCCCAUAAUGAUAUUGAGAGGCAUCUUUUAAUAUUUAAAGCUCAGGCGGUACGGGAUGGGCAUGCGGAACAUUAGCUAGUUGGCAGGGUAACGGCCUACCAAGGCUGCGAUGUUUAGGGGACCUGAGAGGGUUAUCCCCCACACUGGUACUGAGACACGGACCAGACUCCUACGGGAGGCAGCAGUGAGGAAUAUUGGUCAAUGGGCGCAAGCCUGAACCAGCCAUCCCGCGUGAAGGAAGAAGGCGCUAUGCGUUGUAAACUUCUUUUCCAGGGGGAGAAUUUUUCCGUCGUGACGGGAAUUGACGGUACUCUGGGAGUAAGCAUCAGCUAACUCCGUGCCAGCAGCCGCGGUAAUACGGAGGAUGCGAGCGUUAUCCGGAUUUAUUGGGUUUAAAGGGUGCGUAGGCGGAUAGAUAAGUCAGUGGUGAAAUUCUGCAGCUUAACUGUAGACUUGCCGUUGAUACUGUCAGUCUUGAGUAUGGUCAAGGCAGGCGGAAUGUGUAAUGUAGCGGUGAAAUGCUUAGAUAUUACACAGAACACCGAUUGCGAAGGCAGCUUGCUGGGCCAUUACUGACGCUGAUGCACGAAAGCGUGGGGAUCGAACAGGAUUAGAUACCCUGGUAGUCCACGCCGUAAACGAUGAUCACUCGCUGUUGGCGAUACACAGUCAGCGGCUAAGCAAAAGCAUUAAGUGAUCCACCUGGGGAGUACGGCC
This 882-nucleotide ribosomal RNA is filed under the name uncultured bacterium. RNAcentral's name for it is "bacterial SSU rRNA". It matches the Rfam family "Bacterial small subunit ribosomal RNA", at positions 9 to 887 of the family's 1533-position model. The record is from RNAcentral.